GCUUGGUUGACUAGGGUACGAAGAUACAAAGCCAAAGACUUACUGAAAUGAAUUCAGAGAAGCUCGCUGCCUCAAAUUCGAUUUGGGAGAAACACUGCUUGUAUUUGGGGUUUUCAAUUUGUGCUUUCAGUUCAGCUUGCUCAAUUAAGGAUUUCUGAUCAGGUUGCCGAGAAGCCCAACAUAGCUCUCUCAAGCAGGCCUUCCAGUAGGCUGUGAUAUUGCUGUGUAUAUUCAAUUUUCAUGAAGAUUUUAGAGCUUCCAGGGUCCCUUAAUGCAGAACAUCUUGAUGGGGACAUACUAACAGUUCAGAUUUGAGCCUGGUAUGGACUACUUGGAAUCUCAUCCAUAUGCCGUGCAGUAUUGAAGUUUAUGCAUCAGACCACGAAAUAUGUGCAAGUAUGUUCUUUUAUGCUCUAUAGGAUUUCUGGAUAGAUUAUAAGGUUAGAAGCCUCUCUGUUUACUUACUCCACUGGUAAACUAACAGCAAUAACAACAUUGUAUAUAUAAAUUCAAAGUGGAAAUAUUUUCUGUAGAAGACUGAAGAGUUUGGAUCCAUUUUUUGGAAAUAACAUUUAUCUUCUAUAAAUCUCUAAGAAGUAUGUUUUGUAUAAAUUGUUGGAGAUAUCCUAAAUGAGCUUAGUUUAUGCUUGAAAGUU
Long non-coding RNA from Argentina anserina (silverweed cinquefoil), 656 nucleotides. RefSeq lists it as uncharacterized. Lineage: Eukaryota; Viridiplantae; Streptophyta; Magnoliopsida; Rosales; Rosaceae. The transcript has 3 exons. The record is from RefSeq and is a predicted model, not a curated record.